RNA transcript from Myotis daubentonii (Daubenton's bat), 4250 nucleotides. It is a transcript of the gene named TAFA chemokine like family member 2, with no coding region annotated. The record is from RefSeq and is a predicted model, not a curated record. Lineage: Eukaryota; Metazoa; Chordata; Mammalia; Chiroptera; Vespertilionidae.
GGAGGGAGGCAGCAUCGUUUGGUCUUGCCACCCCAUUUUACUGCUUCACUCAACCUGGAGUGUUGGGACCUAUUCCCUCUCUGCGUUCUCUCCAACCAGGCUGGGUGGAGUAAGGGGUGUGGGUGGACAGGGGGUUCUGCCCUUUUCGGUGACUUUAAAAAAGGUACCACCGGUGUCUAUGGACUGCAUAGCGCUUAGGAGAGGGGGAUUUGAUUACUAAACCGUUUACUUUUUUUUCCCUUCGGUAAUUUGGAUUUGUUUCCUAGGCCCCCUCCCCCGUCUUCCCUCCCGCCUUUAGCGAAGUGACACACUUGCUCGCUCCAGUUGGAUGUUGGAACUUACACCUUCUCGGAGGUGACGGUGCCAGGUACUGGGGAGAGGGGGACAGAGGCGACUUCCCUUCCUUCCAGCCCAGGAUGCCUAGAGGGGCAGCGGUUGGGCUGCAUGGGGCUCUGCCCGCAGCACUCCUAGGAGGGAUUGAGGGGCUGCAGCUGGCCAGGCGUGGCUGCUAAUUGGACUCACGCUAAGUCUCCGAGAGAGCAUCAGCUGGGACCUAUCUGCUAAAGGCGGGAGCACGGGCACCUGCACCGAGGAACCGGGGCGGCUUGCGGGCAGACGACGACCGGCCGACUCAGAGCCUCUCCUCCUUCCUGCCCAGAACCUCCCCAGCAACUCCUGGACCUGCGAGGGCCGGAGAACAGAAGUGCGUGGCAGAGGCUGCUUUCCUGAAGGUGAACCGUUCCGGCCAAUUGCCUUUUCCCAGAGAGCAAAAGGGAGGGCGGGAGAAGGAACGGAGUCCUGUGUGAGUGUGUGUGAGAGGGAGAGACGACGUGAGGCGAGAGGAAAAGUCUGUACUCGGCGUUAAAAGCAAACAAAUCAGAGAUGGAAUAAGGGCGGUAAUUGCUGCAAGACCGCCUUGAUUCUCGCAGUGGGGGGAGCUGAGCGCACCGCGCGUAUCCGGCGAGGACGGCGGGCGACCGCGGGCGCUGGCGAGGGCUGCGGGACUUUGGCUUGUCCUCGGGGAAACACAUUUUUUUUUUAUUACUUUGACACCGUGGCAUAGAAGGGAGGAAAAGAGGCGAGGCUCGCUCGCUCCACCUUCCAUCCGCUUUAAGGGGAUUCCGGUGUAAAUGUCAAGAGAUUCCUGAGUCUCUGUGCCAUCGGAGGAGGAAACACACACACACGCGCGCGCACACGCACGCUCCGGACCUCACUCACCAGCCCUCCACGAGCACACCUCACCGGACUCCGGUUCCCUAUGCCCCUGAACGGGGACGGCGGAUUGGCAUCUUGGAAGCGAUGCAAGAGCGAUAAGGCUGGCGCGGGCCCGCGGAAGCUGCAGGAGCAUCGCUAGGUGUUGCCGCCACCAGGAAGCCGGGCUGCAGAGAGAGUGGAAGGUAGCAGGAGACACACAGAGAGAAAGAAACAUCGAUGUGAGAGACACACAUGGAUUGAUUGCCUCCCGUACAUGCCCGACCAGGGUUGGGGAUUGAGCCUGCAACCGAGGAUGAGUAAGGGAUACUUACAGAAAGCAACAAAAGGAAAACUGCUAAUAAUAAUAUUUAUUGUAACCUUGUGGGGCAAAGUCAUAUCCAGCGCAAACCAUCAUAAAGCUCACCAUGUUAAAACGGGCACUUGCGAGGUGGUGGCACUCCACAGAUGCUGUAAUAAGAACAAGAUAGAAGAACGGUCACAAACUGUCAAGUGCUCCUGCUUCCCUGGGCAGGUGGCAGGCACCACGCGAGCUGCUCCAUCUUGCGUGGAUGCUUCCAUAGUGGAACAGAAAUGGUGGUGUCAUAUGCAGCCAUGUCUUGAGGGAGAGGAAUGUAAAGUUCUUCCUGAUCGGAAAGGAUGGAGCUGCUCCUCUGGGAAUAAAGUAAAAACAACUCGGGCAAACGUGUAAAACUCUUCAAGUUCGAAUGGAGGAGUAGAAAGAGAAGGUUUCUGCUGUGCCUGAUGACAAUUUUUUAAUAUCCGCACUCAAAAUAUUCUGGCUCCACCAUGGAGCACUAGUGUGGUGAAUCCGAAUGUUGGUCGGACUCUAAGGAAGGGACAGAAGUUUCGUUGAGGAGUAAAGAUUCAAAACAACUCCAGAAAUGAGCUCUCACCUUGGUUUAUUUCUCACAGAGCAGCAGGUAACCCAUUAACUAAGAAUAAAUCAAACGACCCUCAAGGCUGAUUACAUUGAACAUAUGCACAGAAACUUAACUUCUCUGGUGGUCUUGAAGGAAGAUUUUUAUACUGCUCUGAAGAGGCACUCCAGACUCUUGUUUCCAAGGGAUUUUAUGGCUCGUAAUCAGCAUCUUCUUGAAAUCAAGACUUUAAAAAAGUCAGACAUGAACUUCUGUGUCAUGAAGAGUUCAUCAGAUUUGAACUGUGUUCAACUUGUAAAAUUGCACUUCCUAAAAGAAUUUGAAGUCGUCAUCUGAAGAGUUGGUGUUUCCGGGCGAUGUCAGAGACACUCGCAUUUUGGGCUCCUGGCUCCAAAUGUGACUGCUUUUCUUGUUCCUGAAAGUCUCCCAAAUGCACUGGCCUUCUGUCAUGAUGUAUUCCUGGGUCUGGUCCUGUGUUCAGUGGCUAGUGGGACUGUAUAUGGCUUUAGUGACAUUUCCUUUGCAAACUUCUCUGGCAUGGUGUGGACUGAGAUCAUUUUAUUUGUAUCCUAAUCUUGGAGCUCUGAAAGCCUACAUGUUUUAACAUCUUAAAGUUGCUUUUGUUAAAGGAAUGGAAAAAUAUAUCCAUUGAUAAUAAUUAUUGUUGGCAAGUAAUACUUAUCUGAAUACAUCAAUCACCUAAGAAUGUAUAGACUAGCUGACAUGUUUCCCCAAGGCUAACACACUACUGCAGCUCUCUGUCAGUUAAAUAGGUAGUAGUUAGAACUGAAUUACCAUUUUCAUUGUAUACUAUUUUAUACCUCUAGAGCACUCUUCCUUCCUUUCUUUUUUUUUAAGUGGGCUGUUUUCUUUCCUUUUCAUGUUUACUUUUUUCCUUCACAGAAAUCGGCAGUGAGCAGUCAAGUAUUGAGUUCGGUAGCCUUCAGUUUCAAAAAUUGCCAGGGAUGCAUGUGGGUUUCUGAUUUCUUAGCUUGAAAGUUAUUCAUUUACAUUUAUUACAUUUUAAAACUGUUCUUUCUAUCUCAUUUUAGAAGACUGUCUCUUGCUUGACCCCAAUGACUGUUUGAAUGCUGUUUGUCCAGUCUGUAGAUAAAAUAAAUGAUCAUUUUCUUGGGUCUCAAAUUUAUAAAUAUUUCUUAUAGUUGUCCCAUUUGAACAAUUUCUUAGGUUAUUUUUUGCUCACAUUUUUGUAGUAAUUUUAACAUUUGUGGUUUUCAGUUCUAUAGGAAAAUCAUAGAAAUAUUUAAAGGCCUUAAACAUGUAUGUACCUUUUUUCCUAAGUUAUUACAGAAUGUAUACUUUUAUAAUACAUUUAUUUUGUUUCAUUUAUGAUGUGAAGGGAGCGAAGAAUGGAAAUUGCAAAGCUAUUCUGUAAUAAUAAUGUGUAAACUUACAGUUUGAAGGAAUGUAAAUGGAGGGACUCCUGUGUUUUACUCAUCUUAGACUAAUAGGAAGGUACUUCAGAAAUUGUCCUAUUAGAAAUUCCAUUAUGUUAGAGAAGGUGUGGACAUCUUUUGUGUUUCUAAAACUCACUGACGUGGCCAAUUAGGUAUAUGUUGGUUUCCAUGAUGGAGGCUGAGCAGCCUGAAGACCUUCGGUCUGUUAGUAGGUAACAACUUUCAAAGACUGAUAGAAACUUUUCUGGGCAAAACAACUAAAAGUGGUAAAAUUUGUUAAAACUUAAAUUUGUAAAGUAUGCUUUUGACAUUGAACUAAAGUAUACUGCCCUAUAAGUCAAUGAAAUGACUUACUCCUUUUAUUUUAAUUAUACAUAAAACUAGAUGGCUCCACAUGGAUUUUGCAAUGGUUCAAUACUUUAUGAACGUUAAGACAGGAAUAACAGUUGUGCUGGAGUUUCUGCAUCAAUUAUAUCAUUAAUUGGUUUGUAACAAAGAAGAAAACCAUAUUACUUUGGAAAUUACAAAUUUGUCCUAGAUUGGUUUGAAAUUAUAGAUCAUGCCUCUCAUUUAUUAAACCAUGUUCUUUAAAACAACACUAAAAAUUCUGUACUAUAUAUGUGUAAUACAUGCAUAUCAAUAGAAAAAAUAAAUGGAAUUUCAAAUAUACUAACUAGAUUAUCCCCAAUAGAAUACUGUUGUGACUAUUCAGAAAAGUGAAUAAAAUUGGGAUAUAAAA